AGAAUGAACGCUGGCGGCGUGCUUAACACAUGCAAGUCGUGCGCGAAAGCGACUUCGGUCGCGUGUAGAGCGGCGAACGGGUGAGUAACACGUGGACAACCUGCCCAAGAGUGGGGGAUAACCUGGGGAAACUCGGGCUAAUACCGCAUACGUUCGUGGGGUUUCGGCCCUGCGCAGAAAGGUGGCCUAUGCUUGCAAGCCACCGCUCCUGGAGGGUCCGCGUCUGAUUAGCUAGUUGGCGGGGUAAUGGCCCACCGAAGGCGACGAUCAGUAGCCGGCCUGAGAGGGUGAGUCGGACCACGACUGGAACUGAGACACGGUCCAGACCUCCUACGGGAGCGAGCAGGUGGGAAUAUUGGACAAGUCGGGGGAAACCUGACUCAGCAACGCGCGUGGAGA
Molecule: ribosomal RNA, 399 nt
Filed under: uncultured soil bacterium
Lineage: Bacteria
Description: bacterial SSU rRNA
Rfam family: Bacterial small subunit ribosomal RNA
Source: RNAcentral